Molecule: ribosomal RNA, 244 nt
Filed under: Duganella aquatilis
Lineage: Bacteria; Pseudomonadati; Pseudomonadota; Betaproteobacteria; Burkholderiales; Oxalobacteraceae
Description: partial 16S ribosomal RNA
Rfam family: Bacterial small subunit ribosomal RNA
Source: RNAcentral
ACGGCAGCACGGAGCUUGCUCUGGUGGCGAGUGGCGAACGGGUGAGUAAUAUAUCGGAACGUACCCUGGAGUGGGGGAUAACGUAGCGAAAGUUACGCUAAUACCGCAUACGAUCUAAGGAUGAAAGCAGGGGACCGCAAGGCCUUGUGCUCCUGGAGCGGCCGAUAUCUGAUUAGCUAGUUGGUGGGGUAAAGGCCCACCAAGGCAUCGAUCAGUAGCUGGUCUGAGAGGACGACCAGCCACA